AUGUAUUUCUUCUGCUGCGACAUGAUCUCUCUCUCUCUCUCUCUACUUCGUUCUCGUUCUCUUCUCUCUCUAUCUGUAGAACGAGAAACUUCUGACGCGUU
This 101-nucleotide small RNA is filed under the name Arabidopsis thaliana (thale cress). RNAcentral describes it as "ATSL227730". Lineage: Eukaryota; Viridiplantae; Streptophyta; Magnoliopsida; Brassicales; Brassicaceae. The record is from RNAcentral.